Molecule: non-coding RNA, 125 nt
Organism: Triticum urartu
Lineage: Eukaryota; Viridiplantae; Streptophyta; Magnoliopsida; Poales; Poaceae
Source: Rfam
UGCAUACACCCUCCGUCCCAAAUUACUUGUUGUAGAAAUGGAUAAAAAUGGAUGUAUCUAGAAUUAAAAUACGUGUAGAUACAUCCAUUUAUGUGACAAUUAAUUUUGUACGGAGGGAGUAUGAA